GGAUGCGAUCAUACCAGCACUAAAGCACCGGAUCCCAUCAGAACUCCGAAGUUUAAGCGUGCUUGGGCGAGAGUACAAUUAGGAUGGGUGACCUCCUGGGAAGUCCUCGAGUUGCAUUCC
Brachypodium distachyon (stiff brome) is the source of this 120-nucleotide non-coding RNA. The record is from Rfam. Lineage: Eukaryota; Viridiplantae; Streptophyta; Magnoliopsida; Poales; Poaceae.